UUUGAGUUUGAUUCCUGGUUCCGGACCGAACGCCUGGCGGCAUGCCUAAAUCCAUGCCAAGUCGAACGCUGAAGCACUUUCCUUGCAGAGUGCGGAAGAGGGGCGAACGGGUGAGUAACACGUGGGAAAUCUGCCUAGGAGUGGGGGAUAACAUUUGGAAACGGAUGCUAAUACCGCAUAUCUUUUUGAACCGCAUGGUUCUUAAACGAAAGACGGCUUCGGCUGUCGCUCUUAGAUGAUCCCGCGGCGUAUUAGUUAGUUGGUGGGGUAAAGGCCUACCAAGACCAUGAUACGUAGCCGACCUGAGAGGGUGAUCGGCCACACUGGGACUGAGACACGGCCCAGACUCCUACGGGAGGCAGCAGUAGGGAAUCUUCCACAAUGGGUGAAAACCUGAUGGAGCAAUGCCGCGUGAAUGAAGAAGGUCUUCGGAUCGUAAAGUUCUGUUAUUAGAGAAGAACAAGUCAAGGAGUAACUGUCUUGACUUUGACGGUACCUAACCAGAAAGUCACGGCUAACUACGUGCCAGCAGCCGCGGUAAUACGUAGGUGACAAGCGUUGUCCGGAAUUAUUGGGCGUAAAGGGAGCGCAGGCGGUUGGAAUAGUCUGAUGUGAAAGCCCACGGCUUAACCGUGGAAGGUCAUUGGAAACUGUCCAACUUGAAUACAGAAGAGGUAAGUGGAAUUCCAAGUGUAGCGGUGAAAUGCGUAGAUAUUUGGAGGAACACCAGUGGCGAAGGCGACUUACUGGUCUGUAAUUGACGCUGAGGCUCGAAAGCGUGGGUAGCAAACAGGAUUAGAUACCCUGGUAGUCCACGCCGUAAACGAUGAGUGCUAAGUGUUAGGGGGUUUCCGCCCCUUAGUGCUGGAGUUAACGCAUAAGCCACUCCG
Molecule: ribosomal RNA, 890 nt
Filed under: uncultured bacterium
Lineage: Bacteria
Description: bacterial SSU rRNA
Rfam family: Bacterial small subunit ribosomal RNA
Source: RNAcentral